This 484-nucleotide ribosomal RNA is filed under the name uncultured bacterium. RNAcentral's name for it is "partial 16S ribosomal RNA". It matches the Rfam family "Bacterial small subunit ribosomal RNA", at positions 28 to 523 of the family's 1533-position model. The record is from RNAcentral.
GAUGAACGCUGGCGGCGUGCUUAACACAUGCAAGUCGAACGGUGAAGCAGGAGCUUGCUCUUGUGGAUCAGUGGCGAACGGGUGAGUAACACGUGAGCAACCUGCCCCUGACUCUGGGAUAAGCGCUGGAAACGGCGUCUAAUACUGGAUAUGUGAUGUGACCGCAUGGUCUGCAUCUGGAAAGAAUUUCGGUUGGGGAUGGGCUCGCGGCCUAUCAGCUUGUUGGUGAGGUAAUGGCUCACCAAGGCGUCGACGGGUAGCCGGCCUGAGAGGGUGACCGGCCACACUGGGGAUGAGACACGGGCCAGACUCCUUCGGGAGGCAGGAGUGGGGAAGAGUUCACAAUGGGCGGAAGGCUGAUGCAGCAAAGCCGCGUGAGGGAUGACGGGCUUCGGGUUGGAAACCUCUUUUAGCAGGGAAGAAGCGAAAGUGACGGUACCUGCAGAAAAAGCACCGGCUAACUACGUGCCAGCAGCCGCGGUAA